This 499-nucleotide ribosomal RNA is filed under the name uncultured bacterium. Its description in RNAcentral is "partial 16S ribosomal RNA". It matches the Rfam family "Bacterial small subunit ribosomal RNA", at positions 29 to 523 of the family's 1533-position model. The record is from RNAcentral.
AUUGAACGCUGGCGGAAUGCUUUACACAUGCAAGUCGAGCGGCAGCGCGGGCAACCUGGCGGCGAGCGGCGAACGGGUGAGUAAUGCAUCGGAACAUGUCCACUCGUGGGGGAUAGCCCGGCGAAAGCCGGAUUAAUACCGCAUACGCCCGAGAGGGGAAAGGGGGGGACUCGCAAGAGCCUCACGCGACUGGGUUGGCCGAUGUCAGAUUAGCUAGUUGGCGGGGUAAAGGCCCACCAAGGCGAUGAUCGGUAGCUGGUCUGAGAGGAUGAUCAGACACACUGGAACUGAGACACGGUCCAGACUCCUACGGGAGGCAGCAGUGGGGAAUUUUGGACAAUGGGGGAAACCCUGAUCCAGCCAUUCCGCGUGAGUGAAGAAGGCCUUCGGGUUGUAAAGCUCUUUUGUCCGGAGCGAAGCGGACACGUCGAAUACGCGUGUCUACUGACGGUACCGGAAGAAUAAGCACCGGCUAACUACGUGCCAGCCGCCGCCGUAA